AUUCUCCUGUACAAUACUAAAUCAGUGCCAGGCUCUUCCUUCUCUUUAUCUGCAUCACGGUCAGUUUGGAACUGCUCUAGCUGUUUCUCAACUGCUGCUGGUACAAGAUGUGGAUGACUAAUCAAGAUUUGAGAUAAGAACUGCCCUAUAGGGGACUCGAACUGAAGCGGUGCUAUUGGAGCUAGUGACCCAGAAGAAUCUGAAGCCGGUGACGAUGAUGACGCUCUUACUAUUGCAGAUCUCCCCCUUCCAAAACCCAUUCUUCUAUGCCCCGAUUUUCCAUAUGAAACUAAGGAACAAUGCUUAUUAGUUGGGAAGUCAUAUUUGAUAGAAAAACGCACAAAAUGGGGGCCAUUGGCAGCGAGAAACACCGAUCCCCCAACAGAAGUUGCAGGUCUAUAAAUCCCAAACGAAGAUCCAACAACAGCCGCGGCUGCUGCAGCUGCUUCCAUCUUCAGUUCUCUGCAAACACCAGCGCCCAAACAAGAAAAAGAAAGGAUUUUUCGAUGUUUAAUAGACAAAUCAAUAAAAUGAAGCAGAAAUUAAGAUGAAAUGGUUAGGGAUGGACAGAGACUUCUGAGAAG
This 584-nucleotide unclassified non-coding RNA is filed under the name Hevea brasiliensis (rubber tree). Lineage: Eukaryota; Viridiplantae; Streptophyta; Magnoliopsida; Malpighiales; Euphorbiaceae. The record is from RNAcentral.